Molecule: ribosomal RNA, 493 nt
Filed under: uncultured bacterium
Lineage: Bacteria
Description: partial 16S ribosomal RNA
Rfam family: Bacterial small subunit ribosomal RNA
Source: RNAcentral
AUUGAACGCUGGCGGCAUGCUUUACACAUGCAAGUCGAACGGUAACAGGUUAAGCUGACGAGUGGCGAACGGGUGAGUAAUGCAUCGGAACGUGCCCGGUCGUGGGGGAUAACGCAGCGAAAGCUGCGCUAAUACCGCACACGAUCUAAGGAUGAAAGCGGGGGACCGUAAGGCCUCGCGCGAUCGGAGCGGCCGAUGUCAGAUUAGGUAGUUGGUGGGGUAAAGGCUCACCAAGCCAACGAUCUGUAGCUGGUCUGAGAGGACGACCAGCCACACGGGGACUGAGACACGGCCCAGACUCCUACGGGAGGCAGCAGGGGGGAAUUUUGGACAAUGGGCGAAAGCCUGAUCCAGCAAUGCCGCGUGCAGGAAGAAGGCCUUCGGGUUGUAAACUGCUUUUGUACGGGGCGAAAAGGUCUCCUCUAAUACAGGGGGCUCAUGACGGUACCGUAAGAAUAAGCACCGGCUAACUACGUGCCAGCAGCCGCCGUAA